ACACUGGUGGUCUCGGGUAGAAUUCUCACCUUCCAUGCAGGAGACCUGGGUUCGAUUCCCAGUCAGUGUA
RNAcentral lists this transfer RNA (70 nucleotides) under Loxodonta africana (African savanna elephant). It matches the Rfam family "tRNA". Rfam says of the family: Transfer RNA (tRNA) molecules are approximately 80 nucleotides in length. Their secondary structure includes four short double-helical elements and three loops (D, anti-codon, and T loops). The record is from Rfam by way of RNAcentral. Lineage: Eukaryota; Metazoa; Chordata; Mammalia; Proboscidea; Elephantidae.